GGGCCGGUCGUCUAGUGGGAGGAUGCCGCCCUUGCACGGCGGUGGUCCCGGGUUCGAAUCCCGGCCGGUCCACCA
RNAcentral lists this transfer RNA (75 nucleotides) under Thermofilum pendens. RNAcentral describes it as "tRNA-Ala". It matches the Rfam family "tRNA". From Rfam's summary of the family: Transfer RNA (tRNA) molecules are approximately 80 nucleotides in length. Their secondary structure includes four short double-helical elements and three loops (D, anti-codon, and T loops). Further hydrogen bonds mediate the characteristic L-shaped molecular structure. tRNAs have two regions of fundamental functional importance: the anti-codon, which is responsible for specific mRNA codon recognition, and the 3' end, to which the tRNAs corresponding amino acid is attached (by aminoacyl-tRNA synthetases). tRNAs cope with the degeneracy of the genetic code in two manners: having more than one tRNA (with a specific anti-codon) for a particular amino acid; and 'wobble' base-pairing, i.e. permitting non-standard base-pairing at the 3rd anti-codon position. The record is from RNAcentral. RNAcentral also lists the same sequence under 1 other name. Lineage: Archaea; Thermoproteati; Thermoproteota; Thermoprotei; Thermofilales; Thermofilaceae.